This 311-nucleotide unclassified non-coding RNA is filed under the name plant metagenome. RNAcentral describes it as "partial contains 5.8S ribosomal RNA, internal transcribed spacer 2, and large subunit ribosomal RNA". The stretch from base 1 to 104 matches the Rfam family "5.8S ribosomal RNA", at positions 51 to 154 of the family's 154-position model. The record is from RNAcentral.
AAAUGCGAUAAGUAAUGUGAAUUGCAGAAUUCCGUGAAUCAUCGAAUCUUUGAACGCACAUUGCGCCCUCUGGCAUUCCGGGGGGCAUGCCUGUCCGAGCGUCAUUACGCACCCUCAAGCCCGGCUUGUGUGAUGGGCCCCGGCGUCUCGUUCGCGAGACGGGCCCGAAAGGCAGCGGCGGCGUCGACCCGAUGAGCCCGAGCGUAUGGGGACUUCUGUCACACGUUCGCGGUGCGGACCGGCGCCUGCUUGACUUUUCUGAUUAUCCAGGUUGACCUCGGAUCGGGUAGGGAUACCCGCUGAACUUAAGC